UCACGGCAGAAAUAGACAGGGUGGCGGU
This 28-nucleotide small RNA is filed under the name Bombyx mori (domestic silkworm). RNAcentral describes it as "ovarian small RNA-25292". The record is from RNAcentral. Lineage: Eukaryota; Metazoa; Arthropoda; Insecta; Lepidoptera; Bombycidae.